GAUGAACGCUGGCGGCGUGCUUAACACAUGCAAGUCGAGCGAGAAACUACAUGCAGACACUUCGGUAGAAGCGAGUAGCGGAAAGCGGCGGACGGGUGAGUAACGCGUAGGCAACCUGCCCUUCACAGAGGUAUAGCCUCGGGAAACCGGGAUUAAAACCACAUAAAAUCAUAGGUUCGCAUGAACCAAAGGUCAAAGAUUUAUCGGUGAAGGAUGGGCCUGCGUCUGAUUAGCUGGUUGGUAGGGUAAAAGCCUACCAAGGCGACGAUCAGUAGCCGACCUGAGAGGGUGAUCGGCCACAUUGGAACUGAGACACGGUCCAAACUCCUACGGGAGGCAGCAGUGGGGGAUAUUGCACAAUGGGGGAAACCCUGAUGCAGCAACGCCGCGUGAGGUAUGAAGGCCUUUGGGUUGUAAGCCUCUGUCCUAGGGGAAGAAAAAAAAUGACGUACCCGAGGAGGAGCCCCG
This 468-nucleotide ribosomal RNA is filed under the name [Eubacterium] saphenum. RNAcentral describes it as "bacterial SSU rRNA". It matches the Rfam family "Bacterial small subunit ribosomal RNA", at positions 28 to 495 of the family's 1533-position model. Lineage: Bacteria; Bacillati; Bacillota; Clostridia; Peptostreptococcales; Anaerovoracaceae. The record is from RNAcentral.